UCCGGUUUAUCACCGGCAGUCUCGCUAGAGUCCCCAACUGAAUGAUGGUAACUAGCGACAGGGGUUGCGCUCGUUGCCGGACUUAACCGAACACCUCACAGCACGAGCUGACGACAGCCAUGCAGCACCUGUCUCCGAGCUCCCUCGUGAGAGGGCACCCCCGCGUUUCCGCGGAGUACUCGGGAUGUCAAGCCUGGGUAAGGUUCUGCGCGUUGCUUCGAAUUAAACCACAUGCUCCACCGCUUGUGCGGGCCCCCGUCAGUUCCUUUGAGUUUUAGCCUUGCGGCCGUACUCCCCAGGCGGGAUGCUUAAAGCGUUAGCUGCGGCACGGGGGGGGUCGACACCUCCCACACCUAGCACCCAUCGUUUACGGCGUGGACUAC
Molecule: unclassified non-coding RNA, 383 nt
Filed under: uncultured Pseudobdellovibrionaceae bacterium
Lineage: Bacteria; Pseudomonadati; Bdellovibrionota; Bdellovibrionia; Bdellovibrionales; Pseudobdellovibrionaceae
Description: uncultured Bdellovibrionaceae bacterium contains 16S-23S intergenic spacer region
Source: RNAcentral